Rhodamnia argentea is the source of this 2164-nucleotide RNA transcript. It is a transcript of the gene named zinc finger CCCH domain-containing protein 53-like, with no coding region annotated. The transcript is spliced from 9 exons. Lineage: Eukaryota; Viridiplantae; Streptophyta; Magnoliopsida; Myrtales; Myrtaceae. The record is from RefSeq and is a predicted model, not a curated record.
UAUCAUCUUCAGUGAGCUCUCUCUCUCUCUCUCUCUCUCUCCGUGUGAAAAUGGACUCAUACGAAGCUACGAGGCUCGUCUUCUCGAGGAUCCAGAGCUUGGACCCGGACAACGCCUCCAAGAUCAUGGGCUACAUACUACUCCAAGACCACGGCGACAAAGAAAUGACCAGACUAGCCCUUGCCCCCGAUCCCCUCCUCCGCACCCUCAUCCUCAAGGCCAAGUCCCACUUGUCCCUCUCCCUCUCUGCGACCUCGUCUUCAACCUCCGCGACACCCUCUCCUCCUUCCUCCGCCGCUCUCAAUCUCAACCCCAUUUCACGAAGACCCAUCACCCACCACCACUCUCUCUCCAUCCCUUCUCCGAGAACCACCCCGUCCUACGCCAAUGUCGUCAAUGGGGUCACUCGCGACACCACCCCCAACAUCCCCAGCGACCCCGUUGACGAUUACCCGCUCCAGGACCACCUCUCCUUCUUGAACGACCCCAAAAGCGACGACCUUUACGACCCGAGACUCGAGUUUGUUCCGAACGGUGACUCUGGCUUGUCGCACAGAAGAAGCUACUCGAUACCCGGAAUGCGUCUUGGGUCUAAUGCAGCUAGCGAAGAACCGGGUCUUCCCGGUUUCGGGUGGAGGCCGUGCCUGUACUUCGCGAGGGGGUUCUGCAAGAACGGCACUAGCUGCAGGUUCCUCCACGGCGACUCGGGGGACUGCACAGACGCCUCGGCGGCGGUCAAUGUCGGGUCGCCGGUCAAGUUUGGCGAGCUCGAGCAGUUCGGCCCCGACUUCGCAAGAUCGAAGGCCACGGCCGCGGUGGCGCAGCAGCAGAGGUUGAAGCUCUUGGCCAGUGCUUCGGCUUCGUCCUUGCCUUACAACAGUUGCGUGGACUUGUUUCUGCAGCAGCAGAACGACACCCAGAGAUCGACUGCUCCAGAGUUGAUGCUGAGGGACGAGUUGCACAAAUUCGGGCGCAUUCAGUCAGAAAGGAGCGAUUUUUCGGGACUAGGAUCGGGAGGAGCGAGUAGCCCUGGGUCGAGGCAAAUUUACUUGACAUUUCCUGCUGAUAGCACUUUCAGAGAGGAGGAUGUUUCACAUUACUUCAGCAAUUAUGGACCGGUACAAGAUGUGAGAAUUCCUUACCAGCAGAAGAGAAUGUUUGGAUUCGUUACUUUUGUAUAUCCAGAGACCGUGAAGCUCAUACUGGCCAAAGGAAACCCUCACUUUGUUUGUGAUUCACGGGUGCUGGUUAAACCUUACAAGGAGAAAGGCAAAAUUGCAGAUAGGAAACAACAACAGUUCAUGGAUAGGGGUGAAUACUCAGCGUGCUUGAGUCCAACCGGGUUUGAAUCGAGGGACCCUUUUGAUCUCCCCUUUGGUUCGAGAAUGGGUUACAAUGCUCAGGAGAUUUUGCUUAGGAGGAAGUUGGAGGAACAAGCCGAUCUGCAUCAGGCAAUCGAGCUUCAAGGGAGAAGACUCGUGAAUUUGCAGCUUUUGGACUUGAAGAAUCGCUACCGGCAAUACCCUCAUAAUUUAUCAACCAGCUCCCCUAUUUCCUCACCGGUAUUUCCUCGCUCUCCCAAUGUUCAAUCACUCAAUCUUCCGCCUAAUGCCAUCAACCAAGAAGUUGCCAGAGCGGCAUUUGUUGAUGGUUCGGCGUGGAUGAAUUCCGAAUCAGCAGAGAGUGAAAACCUGGUAUUGCAGGGUGUGGAUGGAGCUUGGGUUGAGAAAGAAUCCACUGGCAAGAGAAAAGAGGAGAGCUCUGUUCCUGGAGAGUAUGAUCACCAUGCUAGCUUAGAGCACAUCCUCCCAGAUAACCUCUUUGCCUCUCCCAAGAAAUCAAGGCCUGAGAAUCUCACUGCCUUCAACACUUCUCUUGCUGAUGAUGAGUGUGAUGAUAGUAUGACAAGUUUGAUCACUUCAUCUGCUUCUGCUCCAACCAAUGAGCCCUUGCUGACCACCUCAUCAGCUCUCAAUAUUGCUACUCUCAAAUCAUGUUUGUUUCACGUGCCCAGUUUCUCUUCUGGGCAUGGAGCAAUUGGAAUGUAGUUUGAGCACGUGUUAGCAUGGACAGCCGUAGAGAUAUUUCCUUACUUAGGUAGGGAUGUUUCAGAAGAAUGAGCAGUAAAGAAAGAAAGAUCCUCCUCUAGCUGCUGUAUAGACCA